UACGUAGGUGGCAAGCGUUGUCCGGAUUUACUGGGUGUAAAGGGGGCGCAGGCGGGAAGCUAAGUUGGAUGUGAAAUACCGGGGCUCAACUCCGGAGCUGCAUCCAAAACUGGUUUUCUUGAGUGGAGUAGAGGCAAGCGGAAUUCCGAGUGUAGCGGUGAAAUGCGUAGAUAUUCGGAGGAACACCAGUGGCGAAGGCGGCUUGCUGGGCUCUAACUGACGCUGAGGCCCGAAAGCGUGGGGAGCAAACAGG
Molecule: ribosomal RNA, 253 nt
Filed under: uncultured bacterium
Lineage: Bacteria
Also listed under: 1 other name
Description: partial 16S ribosomal RNA
Rfam family: Bacterial small subunit ribosomal RNA
Source: RNAcentral